GUAGGUGAACCUGCGGAAGGAUCAUUAACAGGUAUCCAAACGUUAAAACCCCCCAUGUGAGCCUUCAACACCAAUGCAUCCUGCACACGUUCACGGGUCAGCCCCUAGUAAAUCAUUGUCUGAAUCAGAUUUUGAGUUAGGGGCCUCCCUUCAGAGGUGCGUUCGAGCGGUUUAGCCUUAGAUACGUCCGGGCGCUCCCAAAUGACUCCACUGUUCUGAAAGUGUUCAUUCGGGUUGCGUAAGAGUUGGCGCGUAAACGAUCGGUGGGACCACACAGCCCAGCGUCCGGGGCCUCUCCGCGGUUACAAUUAUUUCAAUGACCAGAGAGACGGCCGGCGCCGAAAGGUUGUAGGCAUUUAAAAAACGAACAACUGUUAACAAUGGAUAUCUUGGCUCUC
RNAcentral lists this unclassified non-coding RNA (398 nucleotides) under rhizosphere metagenome. RNAcentral's name for it is "partial ribosomal RNA internal transcribed spacer region". The record is from RNAcentral.